Molecule: ribosomal RNA, 492 nt
Filed under: uncultured bacterium
Lineage: Bacteria
Description: partial 16S ribosomal RNA
Rfam family: Bacterial small subunit ribosomal RNA
Source: RNAcentral
AGUGAACGCUGGCGGUAGGCCUAACACAUGCAAGUCGAACGGCAGCACAGUAAGAGCUUGCUCUUACGGGUGGCGAGUGGCGGACGGGUGAGGAAUACAUCGGAAUCUACUUUUUCGUGGGGGAUAACGUAGGGAAACUUACGCUAAUACAGCAUACGACCUACGGGUGAAAGCAGGGGAUCUUCGGACCUUGCGCGAUUGAAUGAGCCGAUGUCGGAUUAGCUAGUUGGCGGGGUAAAGGCCCACCAAGGCGACGAUCCGUAGCUGGUCUGAGAGGAUGAUCAGCCACACUGGAACUGAGACACGGUCCAGACUCCUACGGGAGGCAGCAGUGGGGAAUAUUGGACAAUGGGCGCAAGCCUGAUCCAGCCAUACCGCGUGGGUGAAGAAGGCCUUCGGGUUGUAAAGCCCUUUUGUUGGGAAAGAGAAGCAGCAGGUUAAUACCCCGCUGUUCUGACGGUACCCAAAGAAUAAGCACCGGCUAACUUCGUG